This 1153-nucleotide small RNA is filed under the name Vigna angularis var. angularis. RNAcentral describes it as "Non-protein coding transcript". Lineage: Eukaryota; Viridiplantae; Streptophyta; Magnoliopsida; Fabales; Fabaceae. The record is from RNAcentral.
UUUUAUUUCUCAUUUUCCAUUUUCCAUAAUCAAAGCACAGGUUAUUCAAUUUUCCCUCGCUCACUAUACUUCAUCAUCUUUUUCUAUCUCUUCACCUUCAACUUUCUUGCAACAAUGGCUACAUCUACUGCUGAACCCUCAUUGCAGGGAGAUCAUCCGGAAGUGAUAGAGGAGUAUUUGAAAAAUGGCCAUGCCAAAUGCAUUGCCUUCAAUCCUCGUGGUAAACUUCUUGCUGCUGGGUGCAUGGACGGAAGGUGCGUUAUCUGGGAUUUUGAAAGCAGGGGCAUUGCUAAAGAGCUUAAAGAUGAAGAAUGUUCAUCUCCAAUAAACAGUGUCUGCUGGUCGAGGUGUGGUAAUCGAAUUCUUUUGUCUUCUGCUGACAAGUCAUUGUUACUGUGGAAUGUGAAGAGUGGUGAUAGGAUAAAAAGAAUAGUUUUAGAACACAGCCCUCUACAAGCUCGUCUUCAUCCACGUUACCCUAAUCCAGCUCUUUGCUUGGCAUGCCCUCUCUCACGUCCUCCAAUGAUUGUUGACUUGAACACAGAAAACACAACUUUGCUUAAAGUUUCUCUCUUGGAGACAGAAGAACCAACCCCUCCCUCACAUAACAGGCGUGUUGAAGGAACUACUUUAUUAUCACCAACUCCUACGUGUUUUAACAAGUAUGGAAACCUUGUUUAUGUGGGAAACUCAAAGGGGGAAAUUCUUGUAAUCAACCAUGUAAACAAUGAGGUUCGUGCCAUGAUUCCUAUCUCUAGUGGUUGGGAAGUGAGGAACAUUGUGUUCAGCAGAAAUGGACAGCACCUUUUAGCAAAUUCAAAUGAUCGAGUAAUCCGGAUAUAUGAAAACCUUCUACCUCUGAAAGAUGAAGUUAGAGCACUUGAUGAUCUGAAAGAAAAACACAAAGGCCUAAAAGCUGUUGAGAAGUUGAAGGCCGUAGGAUCAAAGUGUUUGACUUUGAUCCGGGAGCUUCAAGAUUCAACCAUGACUGUUCACUGGAAAUCACCCUGCUUCAUUGGCAAUGGACAGUGGGUUGCUGGUGGUUCUGCUAGGAGAGGAGGGCACCAGAUUUACAUAUGGGGUGUAGUUGGAGAAGCGAAAAUCCUUGAAGGGCCUAACCAAAAAAUUGUUGAUUUAGCAUGGCAUCCUGUGC